RNAcentral lists this transfer-messenger RNA (373 nucleotides) under Clostridiaceae bacterium. It matches the Rfam family "transfer-messenger RNA". From Rfam's summary of the family: Bacterial tmRNA, also known as 10Sa RNA or SsrA, is named for its dual tRNA and mRNA-like properties. Its role is to liberate the mRNA from a stalled ribosome. The record is from RNAcentral. Lineage: Bacteria; Bacillati; Bacillota; Clostridia; Eubacteriales; Clostridiaceae.
GGGAGCGUACUGGUUUCGACGGGGUUAUUGCAACUUGAGAAGCGGGUAGAGGAUUCUCGUUGGCCUCUUAAAAAAACGAGAAACUUUUAAAUGCCAAUAAACCGGCACUUGCCGCGGCAUAGUAGCUGCAGCCGUCACCUCUGCAUAUCUGCCAGCAGAAUUAGUGACGUUAUCAGGCAGACCUUAUCUGUAGAAGGUUAAACAGAGAACUUUCUAACCCCGGCUUGAAGGUUAGACCGUAUUACAAGCUACCGGACCGUCAAGUUUGUCAGCAGACAAGGCGGAAGGGGAAUACUCUAAUUACUGACUGCACCCGGAGAAUCUCUUGAGAAUAUGAUUUCGGACAGGGGUUCGACUCCCCUCGCUUCCACCA